CAGUCGCCACGGUAAUACGUAGGGUGCAAGCGUUAAUCGGAAUUACUGGGCGUAAAGCGUGCGUAGGCGGCUUUUUAAGUCGGAUGUGAAAUCCCUGAGCUUAACUUAGGAAUUGCAUUCGAUACUGGGAAGCUAGAGUAUGGGAGAGGAUGGUAGAAUUCCAGGUGUAGCGGUGAAAUGCGUAGAGAUCUGGAGGAAUACCGAUGGCGAAGGCAGCCAUCUGGCCUAAUACUGACGCUGAGGUACGAAAGCAUGGGGAGCAAACAGGAUUAGAUACCCGGGUAGUCCCUGUCUCUUAUAC
Molecule: ribosomal RNA, 301 nt
Filed under: uncultured bacterium
Lineage: Bacteria
Description: partial 16S ribosomal RNA
Rfam family: Bacterial small subunit ribosomal RNA
Source: RNAcentral